RNAcentral lists this ribosomal RNA (466 nucleotides) under uncultured bacterium. Its description in RNAcentral is "partial 16S ribosomal RNA". It matches the Rfam family "Bacterial small subunit ribosomal RNA", at positions 28 to 507 of the family's 1533-position model. The record is from RNAcentral.
GACGAACGCUGGCGGCGCGCCUAACACAUGCAAGUCGAACGAGCGAGAGAGAGCUUGCUUUCUCGAGCGAGUGGCGAACGGGUGAGUAACGCGUGAGGAACCUGCCUCAAAGAGGGGGACAACAGUUGGAAACGACUGCUAAUACCGCAUAAGCCCACGACCCGGCAUCGGGUAGAGGGAAAAGGAGCAAUCCGCUUUGAGAUGGCCUCGCGUCCGAUUAGCUAGUUGGUGAGGUAACGGCCCACCAAGGCGACGAUCGGUAGCCGGACUGAGAGGUUGAAAGGCCACAUUGGGACUGAGACACGGCCCAGACUCCUACAGGAGGCAGCAGUGGGGAAUAUUGCACAAUGGGCGAAACCCUGAUGCAGCGACGCCGCGUGGAGGAAGAAGGUCUUCGGAUUGUAAACACCUGUUGUUGAGGAAGAUAAUGACGGUACUCAACAAGGAAGUUACGGCUAACUACGUG